RNAcentral lists this transfer RNA (69 nucleotides) under Kogia sima (dwarf sperm whale). Its description in RNAcentral is "tRNA-Thr". The record is from RNAcentral. Lineage: Eukaryota; Metazoa; Chordata; Mammalia; Artiodactyla; Physeteridae.
GUCUUUGUAGUAUAAUAAAUACCCCGGCCUUGUAAACCGGAAAAGGAGGAAUCACACCUCCCCAAGACU